GGAAAGAUGGUCGAGUGGUUUAAGGCGUAGCAUUGGAAAUGCUAUUUAAGUAAUUCUUAACGAGGGUUCGAAUCCCUCUCUUUCCU
RNAcentral lists this transfer RNA (86 nucleotides) under Renouxia sp. RNAcentral's name for it is "tRNA-Ser". It matches the Rfam family "tRNA". From Rfam's summary of the family: Transfer RNA (tRNA) molecules are approximately 80 nucleotides in length. Their secondary structure includes four short double-helical elements and three loops (D, anti-codon, and T loops). Further hydrogen bonds mediate the characteristic L-shaped molecular structure. tRNAs have two regions of fundamental functional importance: the anti-codon, which is responsible for specific mRNA codon recognition, and the 3' end, to which the tRNAs corresponding amino acid is attached (by aminoacyl-tRNA synthetases). tRNAs cope with the degeneracy of the genetic code in two manners: having more than one tRNA (with a specific anti-codon) for a particular amino acid; and 'wobble' base-pairing, i.e. permitting non-standard base-pairing at the 3rd anti-codon position. The record is from RNAcentral. Lineage: Eukaryota; Rhodophyta; Florideophyceae; Rhodogorgonales; Rhodogorgonaceae.